RNAcentral lists this long non-coding RNA (1549 nucleotides) under Daucus carota (carrot). Its description in RNAcentral is "long non-coding RNA (DCAR_LNC000615)". The record is from RNAcentral. Lineage: Eukaryota; Viridiplantae; Streptophyta; Magnoliopsida; Apiales; Apiaceae.
AGUAUGUCGAUUACGUGGUUUAAUGGCUUCUUCACGUUUUGAGAUCAUCAUCGCCGUCCAGAUUCGCCAUUACAAGUGAGAUGGAUAACACCGUUUUUUGGUUUGUAUUGGGGAUAACAAAGCUACCUAGGAUUUAAGCUAUUUGCUGCCGUUGAUGGAACUAAUCGGAUAUGAGCCAAUCACCACCGCAACCAUUCAGGUCACCACUCUCUCUUCUUUGUUUGUACGCAUGUAUCUGUAUGUAUCUAUCACAACUCAAUUCUCAAUUGUGUGUUUAAUUUCUUUCUUUCACUUUUGUUGCAAUUCAAGUUUCAAUUAUAGUCAGAUCUGAUAUUGAUUCAUUCAAGUACUACUAUCAUGCAUGUUUGUUUGAUUUUAUCUAUUAAACUAUCGAGAUUCUCAUCGUGUGGUUUAAUUGUAAUGUUUUGGUGAUGGUGAUUGGUGAGCAUGAAUCUAGGUGAUAUGCAAUCGUAAGAAAUUCUAUUUUAACUUUUUGAUAAAACUGAAAUGGAAUUGCAUUAUAAUGUUUUAACUUCUGUUAUCGGUGUAGAUCUAUGAUUGGAUAAGUACAAUUUCUACGAGAUAUCUGUUUCACUCGGCGUGUCAGCUGUAAAACUUGAAUUUUUUGUUUCUGAAAAUACGAGAUUGAUUUGGGAGAUAGUUCAUAAUUAUGUGGAUUUGGAUGUUGUGAAUCAUGGUGUAACGGAGGUUACGUUUUGAAUCCAUAAUUAUCAUGAUUUUUAGAUAUUUAGGCAAUAAUUUAUUCUUAAAUUAGAUUGGCUUUAAUUACGAGAUCUCUUUUAUUCUCUAUUCAUUAUUUGUCUCCAUUAGCUUUAAUUAGAACAGUUACAUUUUGAAUUGUAAUUGUGAUUGGAUAAAUAUUCUUUAUGAAUAUUUAAAUACCUUUAAGUACCAUUUAUGGGAGUCAUUAAUCAUGACUUUAUUGUGCCUUUAAUGGCUUUAUUGUGCCUUUAAUGGGGCUUUAUUGUGCCUUUAAUGGCUUUUUGUUCCAAUUUGGAUGCCAUUUUUAUGGCUUAUUUGACUUGUUGAUGAUUAUAUAUAAUAUAUUUAAUCAUGUUUUAAACUUUAUUUUAUUCAUCACUUAAAUUAUUAAUUUUUAAUGUGUCUAACCAAAGGAUUUUCCUUUGGUUAGAAAUUAGUUUAUAUUUCUAUAUUUUUUAAUUUAUUUUUGUUAUAUAUACUCUUUUGUUUUGUUUUUAUUAGAUUUUCUAUCAUUUUUACAUUACAUUAAAUAUAUAUAUAUAUAUGUGUGUGCGCGCGCGCGCGUGUGAUUUACUUGUAUACAGAUUUAUGUUUUUUUGGUUUGUUUUGUUUUUUUCAGGAUAAUUUGGAAGCGAGCUGGUUCGUGGCUUAUGGGUGUUCUUUUCUCAUUCAUUUAAGCUUUAUUGUCUAAGCGUCCGGAGUUGUGCUUGCAUGACUUUCGGUUAGAUGAUAAACUUUCUUGAAAGAAAGAUAUCCCGGAUGCGGUUUAUUGUAUUUCGAUACAAUUCAUCUACGUAUAUGUAGACCUUACAAAAAAAAAAAAAAA